RNAcentral lists this long non-coding RNA (280 nucleotides) under Panax ginseng (ginseng). RNAcentral's name for it is "long non-coding RNA (PGIN_LNC017843)". Lineage: Eukaryota; Viridiplantae; Streptophyta; Magnoliopsida; Apiales; Araliaceae. The record is from RNAcentral.
CACGACUAUCAUCCUCUGCACGAUCAGCUCGACGCGAUUCUCUUACCCAGCCUUCUUCUACUAUGUUUAGCCUUUCAGAGGUUUCCUUCAGUUCCUUCUUCAACUUCUCUAUCUCCUCGGUCUUAUCUUCAGUUUGAACCUUCUCAUGGACCAAAUCCCAUUCUACGUUUGCCAGUCGAGAGUGAAGAGUCGAAAUCUCCCUCUCCUUCUGCUCUAGAGUAAUAUGCUGAAUAACCGCUCGCUCAGUCAAAUCCUGGACCUCGUCUCGUAACUCCACGUU